GGCCGGUACAGCGGGAUGCGACAUGGCGACAUGGAGCGGAUCCCUGAAAACCGGUCUCAGUUCGGAUCGGAGCCUGCAACCCGGCUCCGUGAAGGCGGAGUCGCUAGUAAUCGCGGAUCAGCAACGCCGCGGUGAAUGCGUUCCCGGGCCUUGUACACACCGCCCGUCAAGUCAUGAAAGUGGGCAGCACCCGAAGCCGGUGGCCUAACCCCUUGUGGGAUGGAGCCGUCUAAGGUGAGGCUCGUGAUUGGGACUAAGUCGUAACAAGGUAGCCGUACCGGAAGGUGCGGCUGGAUCACCUCCUUUCUACGGAGAUUUCAGGCCACUGUCUGGUGGCCGGUGUGUGCCCCCUUGCCCCGGAUGUGCCGGGUGUGUGGGGGUUGCUGGUGUGGAAGAGUGGAGUCGGCCUUCGGGCGUGCCGGUCGUGCGGUGCGUCCAGGAGUGGUGCGGGCAUGCUUUUGGGUUCCCGGACCGCCACCCCGCGCCGUUUGGCGUGGCUGGUGUUCCGUGCCCCGUGCCGGUCGCCCGUCCCCUGGUGGGGUGGGUGGGCUCGCGUGCGGGUGCGUGGUGGUUUGAGAACUGGAUAGUGGACGCGAGCAGGGGACGCCCUUUUGGGGGUGUCUUCUGCUGUUGAUUUCGCCGGACUCUUCGGAGUCUGGUGUUUGAUCGUUUUGUGUGUGAUCAUUUGUGUGAUGAUUUGUGUUGCCAGCGGAGUUUUUGCCGUGGGCUUGCGGUUUCCCGC
This 742-nucleotide unclassified non-coding RNA is filed under the name Bifidobacterium bifidum. RNAcentral describes it as "partial contains 16S ribosomal RNA and 16S-23S ribosomal RNA intergenic spacer". The stretch from base 1 to 306 matches the Rfam family "Bacterial small subunit ribosomal RNA", at positions 1232 to 1533 of the family's 1533-position model. The record is from RNAcentral. Lineage: Bacteria; Bacillati; Actinomycetota; Actinomycetes; Bifidobacteriales; Bifidobacteriaceae.